RNAcentral lists this ribosomal RNA (429 nucleotides) under Bacillota bacterium. RNAcentral's name for it is "Firmicutes bacterium partial 16S ribosomal RNA". It matches the Rfam family "Bacterial small subunit ribosomal RNA", at positions 355 to 776 of the family's 1533-position model. Lineage: Bacteria; Bacillati; Bacillota. The record is from RNAcentral.
UAGGGAAUCUUCGGCAAUGGACGGAAGUCUGACCGAGCAACGCCGCGUGAGUGAAGAAGGUUUUCGGAUCGUAAAGCGCUCUUGUUAGAGAAGAACGUUGGUAGGAGUGGAAAAUCUACCAAGUGACGGUAACUAACCAGAAAGGGACGGCUAACUACGUGCCAGCAGCCGCGGUAAUACGUAGGUCCCGAGCGUUGUCCGGAUUUAUUGGGCGUAAAGCGAGCGCAGGCGGUUCUUUAAGUCUGAAGUUAAAGGCAGUGGCUUAACCAUUGUACGCUUUGGAAACUGGAGGACGUGAGUGCAGAAGGGGAGGGUGGAAUUCAAUGUGUAGCGGUGAAAUGCGUAGAUAUAUGGAGGAAAGCAGGUGGCGAAAGCGGCUCUCUGGUAUGUAACUGACGAUGAGGCUCGAAAGCGUGGGGAGCAAACAGG